Molecule: ribosomal RNA, 294 nt
Filed under: uncultured bacterium
Lineage: Bacteria
Description: partial 16S ribosomal RNA
Rfam family: Bacterial small subunit ribosomal RNA
Source: RNAcentral
GACGAACGCUGGCGGCGUGCUUAACACAUGCAAGUCGAGCGGUAAGGCCCCACUUGUGGGGUACACGAGCGGCGAACGGGUGAGUAACACGUGGGUGACCUGCCUUCAGCUCUGGGAUAAGCCUGGGAAACUGGGUCUAAUACCGGAUAUGACUUUCUGUGCAUGCCGGGGUGGAAGAUUGUUUGGUCGUGGGAGUGGCCGUGCGGUCGUAUCAGCUUGUUGGUGGGGUGAUGGCCUACCAAGGCGACGACGGGUAGCCGGCCUGAGAGGGCGACCGGCCGACACUGGGACUGA